UACGUAGGGCGCAAGCGUUAUCCGGAAUUACUGGGCGUAAAGCGUGCGUAGACGGUUUCGUAAGUCGGGUGUGAAAUCCCCGGGCUCAACCUGGGAAUUGCAUUCGAAACUGCGAGGCUAGGGUACGGAAGAGGGAAGCGGAAUUUCUGGUGUAGCGGUGAAAUGCGUAGAUAUCAGAAGGAACAUCAGUGGCGAAAGCGGCUUCCUGGUCCAGUACCGACGUUCAGGCACGAAAGCGUGGGGAGCAAACAGG
RNAcentral lists this ribosomal RNA (253 nucleotides) under uncultured bacterium. RNAcentral describes it as "partial 16S ribosomal RNA". It matches the Rfam family "Bacterial small subunit ribosomal RNA", at positions 524 to 776 of the family's 1533-position model. The record is from RNAcentral.